UGCAAGUCGAACGGCAGCAUGAUCUAGCUUGCUAGAUUGAUGGCGAGUGGCGAACGGGUGAGUAAUACAUCGGAACGUGCCCUGUAGUGGGGGAUAACUAGUCGAAAGAUUAGCUAAUACCGCAUACGACCUGAGGGUGAAAGUGGGGGACCGCAAGGCCUCAUGCUAUAGGAGCGGCCGAUGUCUGAUUAGCUAGUUGGUGGGGUAAAGGCCCACCAAGGCGACGAUCAGUAGCUGGUCUGAGAGGACGAUCAGCCACACUGGGACUGAGACACGGCCCAGACUCCUACGGGAGGCAGCAGUGGGGAAUUUUGGACAAUGGGCGAAAGCCUGAUCCAGCAAUGCCGCGUGUGUGAAGAAGGCCUUCGGGUUGUAAAGCACUUUUGUCCGGAAAGAAAUCGCACUUACUAAUACUAGGUGUGGAUGACGGUACCGGAAGAAUAAGGACCGGCUAACUACGUGCCAGCAGCCGCGGUAAUACGUAGGGUCCAAGCGUUAAUCGGAAUUACUGGGCGUAAAGCGUGCGCAGGCGGUUGUGCAAGACCGAUGUGAAAUCCCCGAGCUUAACUUGGGAAUUGCAUUGGUGACUGCACGGCUAGAGUGUGUCAGAGGGGGGUAGAAUUCCACGUGUAGCAGUGAAAUGCGUAGAGAUGUGGAGGAAUACCGAUGGCGAAGGCAGCCCCCUGGGAUAACACUGACGCUCAUGCACGAAAGCGUGGGGAGCAAACAGGAUUAGAUACCCUGGUAGUCCACGCCCUAAACGAUGUCAACUAGUUGUUGGGGAUUCAUUUCCUUAGUAACGUAGCUAACGCGUGAAGUUGACCGCCUGGGGAGUACGGUCGCAAGAUUAAAACUCAAAGGAAUU
This 865-nucleotide ribosomal RNA is filed under the name Ralstonia sp. RNAcentral describes it as "bacterial SSU rRNA". It matches the Rfam family "Bacterial small subunit ribosomal RNA", at positions 56 to 911 of the family's 1533-position model. The record is from RNAcentral. Lineage: Bacteria; Pseudomonadati; Pseudomonadota; Betaproteobacteria; Burkholderiales; Burkholderiaceae.